Cinara cedri is the source of this 299-nucleotide non-coding RNA. Lineage: Eukaryota; Metazoa; Arthropoda; Insecta; Hemiptera; Aphididae. The record is from the annotation of a GenBank genome assembly.
GGGUGGGUGAGUGUUCCCGGUAAUUUGGAUUUGGGAAUGAGGAUAAAAGUCAUACUUUUAGAGUUAGAAAGUGUACAGUUAUUAUGCGAAAAAAGGCGGGUGGUGGUUUUGAGUUUCAAAUUCUACUAUAGGUAUCAUAGAAAUAUAGUUUUGACGCCACUGAUAGGUAAGUAGGUAGGUGAACUGAAAAAACAUUAGUUAAGGUAGGUAAAUAAUGAUAGUAAAAAUAUUAUUUGCAUUGGGUCAGAUGUGUUUUAGUGACACACACACACUCAAGCACUGUGUGUACACAGUUUUUA